RNAcentral lists this ribosomal RNA (460 nucleotides) under uncultured bacterium. Its description in RNAcentral is "partial 16S ribosomal RNA". It matches the Rfam family "Bacterial small subunit ribosomal RNA", at positions 338 to 795 of the family's 1533-position model. The record is from RNAcentral.
CCUACGGGAGGCUGCAGUGAGGAAUAUUGGUCAAUGGACGAGAGUCUGAACCAGCCAAGUAGCGUGAAGGAUGACUGCCCUAUGGGUUGUAAACUUCUUUUAUAUGGGAAUAAAACGUUCCACGUGUGGGAUUUUGUAUGUACCAUAUGAAUAAGGAUCGGCUAACUCCGUGCCAGCAGCCGCGGUAAUACGGAGGAUCCGAGCGUUAUCCGGAUUUAUUGGGUUUAAAGGGAGCGUAGGUGGAUUGUUAAGUCAGUUGUGAAAGUUUGCGGCUCAACCGUAAAAUUGCAGUUGAAACUGGCAGUCUUGAGUACAGUAGAGGUGGACGGAAUUCGUGGUGUAGCGGUGAAAUGCUUAGAUAUCACGAAGAACUCCGAUUGCGAAGGCAGUUCACUGGACUGCAACUGACACUGAGGCUCGAAAGUGUGGGUAUCAAACAGGAUUAGAUACCCCAGUAGUC